AAAGAGAGUGUUAUGAACAAAUAUGUGAAUGUUCAUUCUGUUAUGACCCAAGAAAUGCAUAUCAAGUCAAACAACUCAAUAGGCAAGAUACAAGAAAUGUAGUAUGAUUUAAACUCCUAGAUAGAAUUAGAUUAGGACUAUGAUUCAAGGGGUUGUUGGCCUAUAAAUAGGUCUCUCACUUCAUUUGUAAAUACAUAUUUGAAUAAGAUCUUUUUACUCCCUUUAAAUACUUUCU
Molecule: long non-coding RNA, 235 nt
Filed under: Theobroma cacao (cacao)
Lineage: Eukaryota; Viridiplantae; Streptophyta; Magnoliopsida; Malvales; Malvaceae
Description: long non-coding RNA (TCAC_LNC000272)
Source: RNAcentral